Molecule: ribosomal RNA, 497 nt
Filed under: uncultured bacterium
Lineage: Bacteria
Description: partial 16S ribosomal RNA
Rfam family: Bacterial small subunit ribosomal RNA
Source: RNAcentral
GAUGAACGCUGGCGGCGUGCCUAAUACAUGCAAGUCGAGCGAACGGACGAGAAGCUUGCUUUUCUGAUGUUAGCGGCGGACGGGUGAGUAACACGUGGAUAACCUACCUAUAAGACUGGGAUAACUUCGGGAAACCGGAGCUAAUACCGGAUAUUAUUUUGAACCGCAUGGUUCAAAAGUGAAAGACGGUCUUGCUGUCACUUAUAGAUGGAUCCGCGCUGCAUUAGCUAGUUGGUAAGGUAACGGAUUACCAAGGCAACGAUGCAUAGCCGACCUGAGAGGGUCAAUGGCCAGACGGUAUCUGAGACUGAGUCCAGACACCGACGGGGGGCAGCGGUAGGGAAUCUUCCGCGAGGGGCGAGAGCCGGACGGAGCAACGCCGCGGAAGGGAUGAUGGACUUCGGAUCGUAGAACGCUGUUGGUAUGGAAGUUGAUAUGUGUAAGUAUCUGUGCACAUCAUGACGGUACCUAAUCAGAAAGCCACGGCUAACUACGUG